This 72-nucleotide transfer RNA is filed under the name Candidatus Aenigmatarchaeota archaeon. RNAcentral's name for it is "tRNA-Ile". It matches the Rfam family "tRNA". From Rfam's summary of the family: Transfer RNA (tRNA) molecules are approximately 80 nucleotides in length. Their secondary structure includes four short double-helical elements and three loops (D, anti-codon, and T loops). Lineage: Archaea; Nanobdellati; Candidatus Aenigmatarchaeota. The record is from RNAcentral.
GGGCCGGUAGCUCAGUGGUAGAGCACCAGUCUUAUAAACUGGCGGUCGUGAGUUCGAUCCUCAUCCGGCCCA